This 553-nucleotide ribosomal RNA is filed under the name uncultured bacterium. RNAcentral's name for it is "bacterial SSU rRNA". It matches the Rfam family "Bacterial small subunit ribosomal RNA", at positions 8 to 559 of the family's 1533-position model. The record is from RNAcentral.
AAAGUUUGAUCCUGGCUCAGAUUGAACGCUGGCGGUAUGCUUAACAYAUGCAAGUCGAACGGUAACAGGCCUUCGGGCGCUGACGAGUGGCGGACGGGUGAGUAACGCGUAGGAAUCUGCCUCAUAGUGGGGGACAACGUGGGGAAACUCACGCUAAUACCGCAUACGCCCUACGGGGGAAAGCGGGGGAUCUUCGGACCUCGCGCUAUGAGAUGAGCCUGCGUUAGAUUAGCUAGUUGGUAGGGUAAAGGCCUACCAAGGCGACGAUCUAUAGCUGGUCUGAGAGGACSAUCAGCCWCACUGGGACUGAGACACRGCCCAGACUCCUACGGGRGGCAGCAKUGGGGAAUAUUGGACAAUGGGCGCAAGCCUGAUCCAGCAAUACCGCGUGUGUGAAGAAGGCCCUAGGGUUGWAAAGCACUUUCAAUUGGGAGGAAAAYCUGCCGGUCAAUACCCGGUAGCUUGACAUUACCUUUAGAAGAAGCACCGGCUAACUCCGUGCCAGCAGCCGCGGUAAUACKGAGGGUGCAAGCGUUAAUCGGAAUUACUGGKY